UGGGGAAUAUUGGACAAUGGGCGAAAGCCUGAUCCAGCCAUGCCGCGUGUGUGAAGAAGGCCCUCGGGUUGUAAAGCACUUUCAGUGGGGAAGAAAGCCUUGGGAUUAAUACUCCCGAGGAAGGACAUCACCCACAGAAGAAGCACCGGCUAACUCCGUGCCAGCAGCCGCGGUAAUACGGAGGGUGCGAGCGUUAAUCGGAAUUACUGGGCGUAAAGCGCGCGUAGGCGGUCUGAUAAGCCGGUUGUGAAAGCCCCGGGCUCAACCUGGGAACGGCAUCCGGAACUGUCAGGCUAGAGUGCAGGAGAGGAAGGUAGAAUUCCCGGUGUAGCGGUGAAACGCGUAGAGAUCGGGAGGAAUACCAGUGGCGAAGGCGGCCUUCUGGACUGACACUGACGCUGAGGUGCGAAAGCGUGCGUAGCAACA
RNAcentral lists this ribosomal RNA (426 nucleotides) under uncultured Halomonas sp. RNAcentral's name for it is "bacterial SSU rRNA". It matches the Rfam family "Bacterial small subunit ribosomal RNA", at positions 355 to 773 of the family's 1533-position model. The record is from RNAcentral. Lineage: Bacteria; Pseudomonadati; Pseudomonadota; Gammaproteobacteria; Oceanospirillales; Halomonadaceae.